AAAGGGAGGCAUAUCUGAGCUCCUGGGACAUCUUUGGAUCAUCUUACAAGCAGCCCUCUGAAGCAGGAGUGGACAGGAGGUUUUCAAUACCCUUAGGUGGACUAAGGGAGCUCCAGCCAUUCUCUGGACCAUCUAGGACUCCUCAUCUGUACUCCAGCCUUUCGUUGCCAGAAGACUCUAUAUUUAAGGAAACUGAGGACCAUGGAAGUAAGGAGAUAUACACAAGGUUACUUAUGCUACCGAGCCAGCAGAAGGAGAGAGGGAAGAUGAAGCAUACAAAAUUAAAAGACUUAAAUUCUUUAACACAUUCACACACAUAGCAUUUCAUUUUUUCCUCCCUAAAUUGCCAGUCUUUAUAUAAUUAUAUUUUAAUCACCUACUUAAUGAUUCUUUUUUCACACCUCAAAUUUCAAAGUUACAGCUAUUCAAAAUAGCUCUGGACAUACCUAUUCCCAGCUUGUCUUUUGCCUAGUUUCUUUGACCUCAAAUUAUUCCAUGUUUUCUCCCCCUACCCCCUGCCCACUCUGCUCCCUGGCCCCCAGCAAGGAUAAUUUUUAGAGCUGCUUCCAUGUUCUAUCCUUGAUGACAAUUCUCUUCAUUAUGGCCUUCUUGUUUGUAACCCUCACUAUUAUUCUUGCCCCACAAUACACAAUACAUCAGGGCACUAGUAGAUGAUCAAUAAACUUUACUAUCUCUUCUUCCUUUUUUAUAGUCUGAGAAUCAGAUUCACAGAAUGAGGGAACUUAGAGAUAACCUUCACUUUACUUUGGAGAGUUUAAUUGGAAAGCCCCCUGGCUCUGGAAUUUGAGGACUUGGGUUCAAUCCCUAUCUUUGUUACUUAGCAUUUUUGUGACCUUGGGUAAGUCAUUCUCCCGUUAUGAGUCAUUUUCCUUUGUAAAAUUAGAAGACUGGAUUAUAUGGUCUCUAAUUCUCCCAGCCCUGAAUCUAUUCUCCUAUGAUUUGGUUCAGCAUUUUAGGGAACUUUCUUAGUUAUUGUUGUUCAAUUGUUUUCAGUCAUGUCUGAUCUUAUGUAACUCCAUGGGUGUUUUCUUGGCCAAGAUACUGGAAUGGUUUGCCAUUUCCUUCUCCAGUUUAUUUUAUAUAUGAGUAAGCUGAGGCAAACAAGAUUAAGUGACUUGCCCAGGAUCACCCAGCUGCUAAGUGUCUAGGGCCAAAUUUGAACCCAGCUCUUCUCAACUCCAGGUCCAGCACUCUAUCCAGUGCACCACCCAGCUGCCAUUAUAUUUCUUAGUAUCACCUUCUAUAUCCUUCACAUGUCACUUUGUUCUAAUGCUCAAGAACUCAGGAUAUGGUCUUUUCAAAGAAAAUUUUGGUAUUCAUCUCCUUCUGCAAUUCCCCACUUUUAAAUCUCUCUUUUAUUCCCAUCCUUUCUAUCUCUUCUAACAAAAAUUGCCCCCAACUAAGAGAACUAUAGGACUUGUUCACUCACCACUCCGUUCUUCAUUGGGAAGGCAAUUUUCAACUGCUUCUUAGUCACAGUGAUAAGAUAACUCUCCAUUUCAUCCCAUUAAGCACUAACAAUUAAUAUCAGUGAUAGCACCAUUUAGACACUGGUAAUGAAAUAGAUUCCCAUCGCCUCAGAGUUGGAAGGACCCCAGGGACCAUCUAGUCCGAUGAAGAAUACCCUUUUAAAAAUAUCGCAGACAAGUGGAUAUCCAGCCUCUGUUUGGAAACCUCAAGUUAAGGCAUGCCCCCCUCUCUCCUGAGACAGCUCUUUCUAUUUGUGGAGAACUCCGACACUUAGGAAAUCCUUCGAGCUAUCAAGCUUCAGUUUAACUCUGAAAGCUCUACCCAUUGCUCCUAAGUUUUACUCUCAAGGACCAGGGAGGAGAAAUCGAAUCCAUCUUCCACCAAACAGCCUGUCAAAUGCUGAGAGACUAGGAUCAUAUCCUCCCCUCCUCCUGAGUCCCUUUCUUCUCCAGUUCUCCCAGGCUUGGUCACGUUUUUCUGGGUGUGCUCCAGCUUGGUGGUCUCUUUCCUAAAAGGUAGGGUCCUGAGAUGAACAUGGCACUCCAGGUGUCUGACCAGGGUAGAAGUCAAGCUUUUAGAGACAUCUUUCUCUUCUCUCUAGAUUUCUCAAAGUAGCCUAGUUUCUAAGCUACUGUUUUAUUGGCUAAUCGUGAGUUUACAGACCAUGAAAAGACCCAUGCCAUUUUUUUUUCACCCUUACCUUCUAAGUAUCAGUUCUAAGACAGAAGAAUGGCAAAGGCUAGGCAAUUGGGGUUAAAUGACUUGCUCAGGAUCACCCAGCUAGGAAGUGUCUGAGGCCAGUUUUGAACCCAGGACUUCCCAACUCCAGUCUUAGUACUCUAUCACUGUGCUACCUAGCUGCCCUUAUACCACCCUGCUCUUUCUUAAAAGAACUACUGUCUAACCAUUCAUUAGAGUAUAAACUUCUUGAAAGCAAAGAUUACUUUUUGCUUUUUCUUUAAAAUUCCCAGGGGUUGGCCCAGGAAUGACACACAGUAGGUAUUUAAUAAAUGUUAAAUAACUGAGUAACCCAGGUUGCCCAUCUUAGACUCCUGAAGUUGAUUUUUGCACCACAAUGUUAGAUUUCAAAUAUAUCCCUAUUGUUUCAUGAUAUCAGAUUUUUUUAAUGCUCAGAUCUAUCAAUAUCCCUUUGAAUCCUGACAAUGAUAUCUGAUCAAUAGAUCUAUAUUUAUUAAGCACUUACUGUAUGCCAGGUACUGUAUUAAGAAAAAGUUCUUAACCUCAAGAGCUCAUAUUCUAUUGAAGGCAAAAAAACCCUACACACAUAUGCAUAAACAUAGAACA
This is a non-coding RNA of Monodelphis domestica (gray short-tailed opossum), 2796 nucleotides long. NCBI's taxonomy places the organism in Eukaryota, Metazoa, Chordata, Mammalia, Didelphimorphia, Didelphidae. The record is from RefSeq and is a predicted model, not a curated record.